AGAGAAGGGGUGUAAGGCAGGUGAGGAAAAGGAAAGUGGCUGAGCAUAUGGAUAGCAGAAGCACAGACUGAGAUUCUACCUGUGGCAUGAAGAUCUCCUGCCUGUUCAAACAAAAGAAAAAAAUAGGACUGCAGUGAUUGAGGUGAGUCUGGCUGCACAGCAAAACAAGAUCGGCAGCAGGGAAAAACCACAGUAUGGUUGGGCACGAUGAGCCGUAACUCUCAGCACAAGAAGCUGGGGAAAAGUGAAACGAGUGUUCUAACCCUGUCCUACAUUUACAGAGAAUCCAUACCCUUCGAAGGAGCACUGCUGAAGUGUGAAGGUGGCUACGGAACUCAAGGGCAGGAUAGUGGACAACAGG
Molecule: non-coding RNA, 361 nt
Organism: Phalacrocorax carbo (great cormorant)
Lineage: Eukaryota; Metazoa; Chordata; Aves; Suliformes; Phalacrocoracidae
Source: RefSeq, a predicted model, not a curated record